AAAACAAUCUAGAAAAUCAAUUUUUUCUUUGAUUUGGGACAACACUCUUAAUUCAAAACGAUGUCUACCAAUACGCCAGAACUGACAACUCGGACUAUUAUUGAUUUGGAAGACAAGGAGUUGCAGGCUUUUUUGACAUCGCUUACUAGGACAAAAAUGAGUCCUGAAUACUUCGAAAAGGAACUCAACUUCGUAAUCAUGUCUGCUUCAAUGAUGGGUCCGUUUGCAUUGGUGUCUAUUCUACUAAACUUCUAUUUCUUGGCUAUAAUCUACAAAACAGAGGAGCUUCAUAAACUGGAUUACUUUCUCAUAUCUGUUCAAAGCGUGUCAGACCUCGUCUUCACAGGGCUAGCGAGUCUAACUGCUGCUGUAUUGGACACUUGGUCUGGGCUAAUCUACUACUGUGUUGGCUCUGAGCUGUUGUACGACGGAACCUGGG
Molecule: long non-coding RNA, 439 nt
Organism: Symsagittifera roscoffensis
Lineage: Eukaryota; Metazoa; Xenacoelomorpha; Acoela; Convolutidae
Exons: 3
Source: RefSeq, a predicted model, not a curated record